AAGUGGUCACUCUGUAUUUCAUGUACUUUCCUUUUUGUUGUUUACAUUUGUUCUAGGAAAUGUUAUUAAUUGAAAAUUAAAAUCAGUAGAGCAAUGUCACUACCAACUGGUGUCCACUGGGUGGCAGCACAGGAUAAACUGGAGCCUAAUCAGCGUGACUUCGCCAGAUGAUGUAAUCUACGGCUAAAGAGCCUGAUGGAGUCAAAAUAAUAAAUCAGUGCAGGGUGAAUAUUAUAUCUCUAUCAUUGUUUUGGGGGGAAAUGGCAGCUGGUCUAAUCGUGAGUCCAGCAAGACGAAGCAGCAUUAUCAGAUCAAUCUGUCAUUUUUAAUUUAGUCCAUCCAGCUCAGGGACCAGAACCAGGACAAAAGGCUCUGGUCCGGCUGAAGCCCUGAAGGACGGCAGAACCAGCGCUGGGAGAAACUGGAGCUGAGCAGAGAGCAACUCCAGGCCAAACGGAAAGAAACAGGGAAACGUUUAAAAUAGAUUUAUUAAGAAAUGUUUGAUUUAUUACUGAACAUAAGAAAUAAAGAUAGUUUUACUAAAACCA
Non-coding RNA from Poecilia reticulata (guppy), 548 nucleotides. Lineage: Eukaryota; Metazoa; Chordata; Actinopteri; Cyprinodontiformes; Poeciliidae. The record is from RefSeq and is a predicted model, not a curated record.